AACGCACGAGACCUGCGGACCUGCGGAGGGAUCAUUAUAGAGUGGUAAACCCUCUGUAAAAGGGGGGGACCUCCUGUCCUUUGUAGGCUCUUUUUUAAAGGGCUUUUUUUAAUUUUCUGCUUCGGUGGGGUUAUCCCACCGGAACAACCUCAAAACUCUGAUCAAAAAAUCGUUCUGUCUGAGAACUUUUUAUAAUAAAAAAAACUUUUAACAACGGAUCUCUAGAUCGGAAGAGCACAC
This 240-nucleotide unclassified non-coding RNA is filed under the name soil metagenome. Its description in RNAcentral is "partial contains 5.8S ribosomal RNA, internal transcribed spacer 2, and large subunit ribosomal RNA". The record is from RNAcentral.